GUGUAUUCUAUGGAGGAAGGCUAUAGGGUAUGGGGUCUGUCUCCAUCUCCGUCGAAGUUCGGUGCCGGCAGAACAUCAUCCCGCCCCCCUCCGUCCCCGUCCUCACCGGCGACUUCUAGACGUUGGAGACAGUCCAAAUUUGGUGGGGCCCCCUUGAUUGUUUGUUCUUCAUUGUUUGGCAUCAGAAUAUAAACCCUAAUUUCACCCAUCGUUCUCCCCUCUUUACAUUUUUUUAUGGAUCCAAGUGUUGCAGACGGAUGUGCAUCCAAGAAAAGAUCUGCUAAAGAAAGUGAAGAGUUUGAAGAAUUUGAAGCAAAAAAAGCAAAAAUUAGAAAUCUUGAAUCUGUUUUUCGUUCAGAAGGGUAGGAUCAUCUAGGACCAUUCUCUCAUACCCUCUAGUUUUGUGAGAUGGACCAUCCUUGGGAUGACUAUGUUGUGGCGCUUACGUGACCGAUCAUCCUCUAAGAGAGAACCAUCACCAUAUCCUCUAGCUAUGGUCAUGAACUUUUGAUGUUGAAUUCGGUGAGGGAGAUAGAGGGCGGCUGAAAAAAGGUGGGUGGAGGGAGACCAUGUGUCUCGUGCGACAUUUCUCUCACGCAAACAUUAAAUUAUUUAAGAAUACAACACGUUUAAUUAUAUAUGUUCACACUAGCUUUGGCAUACAAUCUGUUCACCUGAAUGAUUUGAUAGGCACCAUAACUUAUUGUUCACUCUUCAUUUUGUUUAUA
This is a long non-coding RNA of Helianthus annuus (common sunflower), 728 nucleotides long. RefSeq lists it as uncharacterized. The record is from RefSeq and is a predicted model, not a curated record. NCBI's taxonomy places the organism in Eukaryota, Viridiplantae, Streptophyta, Magnoliopsida, Asterales, Asteraceae. The transcript has 3 exons.